GAGUUUGAUCUUGGCUCAGGAUGAACGCCGGCGGUGUGCCUAAUACAUGCAAGUCGUACGCACUGGCUCAACUGAUUGAUGGUGCUUGCACCUGAUUGACGAUGGAUCACCAGUGAGUGGCGGACGGGUGAGUAACACGUAGGUAACCUGCCCCGGAGCGGGGGAUAACAUUUGGAAACAGAUGCUAAUACCGCAUAACAACAAAGGCCACAUGGCUUUUGUUUGAAAGAUGGCUUUGGCCAUCACUCUGGGAUGGACCUGCGGUGCAUUAGCUAGUUGGUAAGGUAACGGCUUACCAAGGCGAUGAUGCAUAGCCGAGUUGAGAGACUGAUCGGCCACAAUGGAACUGAGACACGGUCCAUACUCCUACGGGAGGCAGCAGUAGGGAAUCUUCCACAAUGGGCGCAAGCUUGAUGGAGCAACACCGCGUGAGUGAAGAAGGGUUUCGGCUCGUAAAGCUCUGUUGUUGGAGAAGAACGUGCGUGAGAGUAAC
This 493-nucleotide ribosomal RNA is filed under the name uncultured microorganism. RNAcentral's name for it is "bacterial SSU rRNA". It matches the Rfam family "Bacterial small subunit ribosomal RNA", at positions 9 to 465 of the family's 1533-position model. The record is from RNAcentral.